Molecule: ribosomal RNA, 274 nt
Filed under: uncultured bacterium
Lineage: Bacteria
Description: partial 16S ribosomal RNA
Rfam family: Bacterial small subunit ribosomal RNA
Source: RNAcentral
AUACGGAGGGUCCAAGCGUUAUCCGGAAUCAUUGGGUUUAAAGGGUCCGCAGGCGGUCAAUUAAGUCAGAGGUGAAAGCCCAUCGCUCAACGAUGGAACUGCCUUUGAUACUGGUUGACUUGAGUUAUACGGAAGUAGAUAGAAUAAGUAGUGUAGCGGUGAAAUGCAUAGAUAUUACUCAGAAUACCGAUUGCGAAGGCAGUCUACUACGUAUAUACUGACGCUGAGGGACGAAAGCGUGGGGAGCGAACAGGAUUAGAUACCCUAGUAGUCC